AAGUCGUAACAAGGUUUCCGUAGGUGAACCUGCGGAAGGAUCAUUAUCGAUUCAAACCAAAUGAGAGGGAAGUUGUUAUAGUAGUGCUGGCCUCUGUCAUGGAGGUAUUGUGCACGCUCGACUUCUUCCUUUCUUCAUUUACACACCUGUGAACUUGUUGUAGGGUUGUCUCGCAAGAGACGCUCUAUGUCUUUCUCAUAUACUCCAUAAUGUUUAUAGAAUGUACCUUUUUGCUCUCGUCAGAGACAAAAAUAAAGCCUUUAUAACUUUCAGCAACGGAUCUCUUGGCUCUC
This 293-nucleotide unclassified non-coding RNA is filed under the name Coniophora puteana. Its description in RNAcentral is "partial internal transcribed spacer region". The stretch from base 1 to 46 matches the Rfam family "Eukaryotic small subunit ribosomal RNA", at positions 1786 to 1831 of the family's 1831-position model. RNAcentral also lists the same sequence under 3 other names. The record is from RNAcentral. Lineage: Eukaryota; Fungi; Basidiomycota; Agaricomycetes; Boletales; Coniophoraceae.